Long non-coding RNA from Leopardus geoffroyi (Geoffroy's cat), 401 nucleotides. RefSeq lists it as uncharacterized. The record is from RefSeq and is a predicted model, not a curated record. The transcript is spliced from 2 exons. Lineage: Eukaryota; Metazoa; Chordata; Mammalia; Carnivora; Felidae.
UACUGGCUCCCGCCCUCCUGGCUCUGCCACAGGGAGCAAUUCCAGCUCCCGAGUCUGGAGGGAUGUCUUUGUGAAAUCUCUUAGCUCUUUAGACAUCAGGUCAGACACGAAGCUCUGCUUAGAACACUAUGCUGGUCUUGAUCGAGAGGCACACACGACUGGAGAAGUGGCUGGCUUUGCAUUUCUGCUUAUGACUUCCGUUCGUUACUGACACCCCACAUUGGCAGUGCGCGCCCGGCGAGCCGUGGCAGGCACCCGAGCCUGGGUUCACGAACGCAGAGAGGAGCCGCAGGGACGGGACAGAGUGGAGAAAUGGGAAAGGGGGGUUUGUCGGGAUGUCAACUGUUGACAUCUAAUUAAAACAACUUUCUAAACAUAAGUAAAGAUACUUAUAGUUACUG